This 479-nucleotide ribosomal RNA is filed under the name uncultured bacterium. Its description in RNAcentral is "partial 16S ribosomal RNA". It matches the Rfam family "Bacterial small subunit ribosomal RNA", at positions 28 to 507 of the family's 1533-position model. The record is from RNAcentral.
GAUGAACGCUAGCGGGAGGCCUAACACAUGCGAGCCGAGCGGUAUUGUUUCUUCGGAAAUGAGAGAGCGGCGUACGGGUGCGUAACACGUGUGCAACCUGCCUUUAUCUGGGGGAUAGCCUUUCGAAAGGAAGAUUAAUACUCCAUAAUAUAUUGAACGGCAUCGUUUAAUAUUGAAAGCUCCGGCGGAUAGAGAUGGGCACGCGCAAGAUUAGCUAGUUGGUGAGGUAACGGCUCACCAAGGCGAUGAUCUUUAGGGGGCCUGAGAGGGUGAUCCCCCACACUGGUACUGAGACACGGACCAGACUCCUACGGGAGGCAGCAGUGAGGAAUAUUGGUCAAUGGGUGCGAGCCUGAACCAGCCAUCCCGCGUGAAGGACGACUGCCCUAUGGGUUGUAAACUUCUUUUGUAUAGGGAUAAACCUACCCUCGUGAGGGUAGCUGAAGGUACUAUACGAAUAAGCACCGGCUAACUCCGUG